AUGGACUCGCCGGCGUCGGCCUCCUCGCCGGUGGAGUUCCUGCUCCGGUGCCCCACGCCGAGGCGGAGGAGGCUGCCGCUGGCCGGCGCCUUCUUCGCGCCCACCGCCCUCGCCGGCGCCUCGCUGCUCCGCGCGCUCGCCUCGCUCGCCGCCGGGCUGCUCGCCACGCCGCGCCCGCCGUCGCAGCCGCGGAACUUCGCCGCGCUCGCGCGCCGCCUCGCGCUGCUCAGCGCACUCCUCGACUCGCUCCUCCUCGACGCGCCGGACCGCUUCUCCGACGCCGCCAACCUCUGCUUCCGCGAGCUCUACGUCGUGCUCUUCCGCGCCGACCUGCUCGUCUCCUACGUCGCCUCAGCCGGCCGCGCGUGGGCGCUGCUCCGGGGCGCCCACCUCGCCGCCUCCUUCCGCGACCUCGACGCCGAGCUCGCUGUCGUCCUCGACGUCAUCCCCGCCGCCUCCAUCCGCCUCUCGCACGACGCGGCCGGCCACCUCGACCUCCUCCGCUCCCAGUGCCGCCGCCGAUCGCCCGCACAGUACCACGACCCGGAUGAGGCUGCGCUACGCGACCGCCUCCUCGCCGCCGUCCAACAGUUCGAGCUCGGCCAGCCGCCUCCGCUCAAGUCGCUCCUCUCCGACGUUGGCAUCUCUGACGCUGCGUCUUGCCAAGCUGAAAUCGACUACCUUGAGGAACAAAUCUUGAGUCAAGAAGAGGAUACCGACCUCCUGCUCGUCGGUGGUGUUCUCGCCUUGCUCCGCUACAGCCUCUUCUCGCAGUUCGACCCUGGCAACGCAAAGGCGGCCCGGUAUUGGCCGUCGGCGGGAAACUUGCAGCGGCUUCCAUCGUGGGGCGGCGGCGGCUGCGACGACACCUCCUUCUCGGUGCCCAAGGAGUUCUCCUGCCCGAUUUCUUUGGAUUUGAUGCGCGACCCUGUGGUGGCGUCCACCGGCCAGACGUAUGACCGGCCAUCAAUCAUACAGUGGAUCGGGGAGGGCCAUUCCACCUGCCCAAAUUCAGGGCAGGCACUGGCAGACAACCGCCUUGUGCCGAAUCGUGCACUCCGCAGUUUGAUAUCACAGUGGUGUGGGAUGUAUUGUUUCCAGUAUGAUUCCCCAGAGAGCAACGAGGGGAUGGCCGAAUGCGUCGCCACCGCGUGCAGCAGCAAGGCGGCAAUCGAGGCAAAUAAAGCCACAGCCAGGAUUCUGGUCAGGAUGCUGGUGGAGAGUUCAGAUAGCUCAAAGGCAGUCGCUGCCAAGGAAAUUAGGUUGCUGGCCAAGGCUGGGAAGCGGAACAGAGCGUUCAUCGCCGAGCUCGGUGCAAUCCCGUUGCUCUGCAGGCUGCUCCUGUCAUCAGAUCAGAUUGCGCAAGAGAACGCAGUGACGGCGCUGCUCAAUCUCUCCAUUUACGAGCCGAACAAAACGCGGAUUAUGGAACAGGAGGGUUGCUUGUGGCUUAUCGUCAGCGUGUUGCAGAAUGGCUGGACUACAGAGGCCAGAGAGAAUGCAGCAGCAACUCUGUUUAGUCUCUCCGUGGUCCAUGAUUACAAGAAGAUGAUCAUGAAUGAGCCAGGGGCUCUGGAGAAGCUGGCUUGUAUGCUGAAAAAAGGGACGCCAAGGGGGAGGAAAGAUGCAGUGAUGGCACUUUUCAACCUCUCAACUCAUGCAGAAAGCUCAGCUCGGAUGCUUGAGUCAAGUGCAGUUGUAGCUUUAAUCGAGUCACUGAGGAACGACACCGUGUCGGAGGAAGCUGCUGGUGCUCUGGCUCUGCUCAUGAAGCAGCCUUCUGUUGUGCAUCUUGUUGGGAGCUCUGAAACUGUGAUCAGUAGCCUCGUUGGAUUAAUGAGACGGGGAACUCCAAAGGGCAAGGAGAAUGCAGUGUCCGCUCUCUACGAGAUAUGUCGCCGUGGUGGCUCAGCAUUGGUUCGGAGAGUAGCAAAGAUUCCGGGGUUGAAUACAGUAAUACAGAACAUCAUGCUCACUGGUACAAAGCGCGCCAAGAAGAAAGCAAGCUUGAUCGUCAAGAUGUGCCAAAGAAGCCAAAUGCCGUCAGCAAUGUCGCUAGGCACUAGCUUGAGGGUGGUUGAUCAUUCUUUGGUAGGUAACAGCUCAUUGAGGCGUGCUGCGAGCUUUGGCAGUGGAGAGUUGUCGAAUCCCGUUUCGAUAUCAGUGCACGUGCCCUAG
RNAcentral lists this ribosomal RNA (2178 nucleotides) under Triticum aestivum (bread wheat). RNAcentral describes it as "partial small subunit ribosomal RNA". Lineage: Eukaryota; Viridiplantae; Streptophyta; Magnoliopsida; Poales; Poaceae. The record is from RNAcentral.